RNAcentral lists this ribosomal RNA (440 nucleotides) under uncultured bacterium. Its description in RNAcentral is "partial 16S ribosomal RNA". It matches the Rfam family "Bacterial small subunit ribosomal RNA", at positions 338 to 795 of the family's 1533-position model. The record is from RNAcentral.
CCUACGGGCGGCAGCAGUGGGGAAUAUUGCACAAUGGGGGAAACCCUGAUGCAGCGACGCCGCGUGAGUGAAGAAGUAUUUCGGUACGUACAGCUCUAUCAGCAGGGAAGAAAAUGACGGUACCUGACUAAGAAGCACCGGCUAACUACGUGCCAGCAGCCGCGGUAAUACGUAGGGGGCAAGCGUUAUCCGGAUUUACUGGGUGUAAAGGGAGCGUAGACGGCAGCGCAAGUCUGGAGUGAAAUCCCAUGGCUUAACCAUGGAACUGCUUUGGAAACUGUGCAGCUAGAGUGCAGGAGAGGUAAGCGGAAUUCCUAGUGUAGCGGUGAAAUGCGUAGAUAUUAGGAGGAACACCAGUGGCGAAGGCGGCUUACUGGACUGUAACUGACGUUGAGGCUCGAAAGCGUGGGGAGCAAACAGGAUUAGAUACCCUAGUAGUC